UACUGCCAUGGCCCUCCCAGAUCAAGGUGGUUCUCUGGUUGUGGUCCUCACAGCCUCCAGGGGGCGCCCAGGGCGCGUGCUGACCGCAAUGUACCAGCCUGUAAGGAGCUGAGCAGAGAAGACUGGAUCCACUUAGUUCACCUGACUGACUGGCUCCUCUGUCCUAAUUUUGCACCUUUACCUACCUAAGCAUAGCGAGCGAAAGAGGAGCCAGGGCUGCUGGACGCUUGUAUGAGGUGCAUCACUUUCUAAAUUGAUCUCUGCUUUGUCCCACAUUUGUUUGAGACCUUGGGCUUCCAAAAUAAUGCUGGAUCUUUUGUCAGGGUGGAUGGGACCUGCUGGCGGCCAUCGGUCAACGAAGGCCUUUCCGGAAGCGGGGGAAGAGCGGGAAGUCUCUGUACUUGCGUGAAGGAGUAGUGGACACCCACAUACACUAUAGAAGAGAAGCAGAAGUUGAUGCCCAACGACCCACAACAGUGACUAUCCUGUAGGAACUUGCAGCCUUUUUCUUCACAGUCCAAGAAGCCAAGCUCCACCUCUUUCUCGGGGCUUUUUGCCCUGUGCAGUCGCCCUCAGCAUCUUGAGUAUGGCUGACCACCUGUGCGUCCCCCAGCAUGGGUAAAAAGAAAGAAUGAGAGGUAGGGAAAUGGGAAUGUCAAGUUGGGAGGCUAGACAGGGAGUGCUGGCAUCAAUGGAGCCAGCUGAACAAAGGGACCAUUUGCUGGAGGGACACCCAUCUUCCACAAACCUGUCUUCUGAGGUCAGUAGAGAAAGGUAGACUUUUAUCCAUAAAACUAUGGAUGCUUGUCAGGUCAGUGACUUUAAGGACAAGUCAAUGAAACCCUGGGAGUAUUAGUGAGGCAGAAUGGGUACGGCAGAGGCCACAGUCAGUCUAAACAGAGCUAGCCCCCGCCCCCCAGUGGCACACUUAGUAUAUUAUGUCACCACAAAUCCAGAACAAAAACAGUGGAACGCUACUAUCAGAAGUAAGAGCACACCGGGGUGAUGGCUCGUUGAUAAAAUUCUUGAUGCCAAGCCUGAUGAUGUGUGUUUGACUCCCAGGACCCACAUGAUGGAAGGAGAGAACUGUUUCCUGCCUGUUGUCCUCUGACUUCCACAAAUGUGCGUGGCACAUGUGUAUGAACACAUACAAACGGUGGCGCACGCCUGUAAUCCCAGCACUCGAGGAGGUAGAGGCAGGCAGAUCUCUGUGAGUUUGAGGCCAGGCUGGACUACAAAGCGAGUCCAGGACACAGAGAAACCCUAUCUCCAAAAACCAAACCAACCAACCAACCAAAUACAAGCAAAUAAAAACAAAUUACUAAUACUAAUACUAACAAUGGAAUAAAAGGAGAGAACCCUCUCUCAGCCACCUUCAACAGCUCUGCCAACCUCUCUGCUGCCAGAAUGAGCCCCAGGUGCUUUUCAGAGCCCUGAGAUAUGCCAGAGAGUUUUCUCUUACAAAUGAUUUGUGACAAAUCCAUCCAAACUUGCAUGUUUCCCUCUUGUAAGAGAAGACUGAGAGGAAAGAGUCCCUCCCACGUUUCCUUGUGAAGGAGUUGGCAGCUUGGACACAGUGUUCUUUUUCCUUGAGGACUCCUUUUAGUAAGAGGAACACACUUCUUUCCCCUCUUUACUAGAAAAAAAAAAAGGCUGCUGUUCUAAUUUUUUGAAAGCUGAUAUGCCAUCCUGUUUUAAUCAGUAUGCUUAGCUCCAGGGGCAGAGACUCCUGGCCACAUCUGGCCAGGGUUAGCACACCAUCCAAGCUACCUGUCCAGCAAUGUCUAAGACUAUGUUGGGGGCUCGCCUGUGAGGCACAGACAUUUUCCAGAUUCCUGGGCAUUCUCUUACAAAUUACUUGCCUCUGUCUUGGUACCCCAAGGUGACUACUGAACUGAGCACUCUACCAGAGCCCCUUUCCGGAGGAAUUCUCUCAUUUUAGAGCUAAGAGAGGAGAUGUGAAAAAGUUGAUUGACAGACAAAUGUCAGGGCCUCUGAAAGUCAUCACCUUAGGCUAGGCUUGAUGGUACAUGUCUGUUAUUUUAGCCCAAAGGAGGCUGGGGCAGGAGGAUCACAAGAUAAAGGCCAGUCCAGGCUCCAGAGAGAGAUUGAAUAUGACUAUGAGCCAGACAAUGUCCUAACACAGGGUGAAACUGUCCCAGGUCUGACAGUGAAGGCCAAAUCAGAAAGAGCUGAUCACUCUUUCCCUAUAUCUCUGUAUAAACAUCCCCAGAGAGAAAAGCCAUCUCUUCCUCUCCCUGGCUAGCCUCAUGCUGACGCCGUCGUUAAUCACUUCCAAGACACUUGGAACCUAAGGGAACCAUUCAGGGACACCUUCCCUACAGUCAACCCUGACUGGUACCGCAAUGAAGUCUCACCUGACCCAAACUGGUCUUCCAGUACUUGGGGGCCUUUAAGAAGGACAGACAAUGUCGGCUUAUCCAACCCCCCGGAAAUCUGGGAGCCCCAGGACACUCUCCUUUCCGUGUUGAAGUACGGAGGACUGAGGAACAUCUGUCUGGCCACUUGCUCCUUCUAUUGCUCAGCUGGCUAGCAGUCAGCACCUCUCUACUCUACACAGGGCCCAAGCUUGGCAGAACAGACUCAAAGAGAAGCCCAGAAGAAACUGGUAGGCGUGGCUUGUGUCUUGGGGGCAGGACAGAGUAAGGACUGGAGAAGUGAUGUCAAGGUUAAGCUGAGGAAGCCUUUUACGUGGGGCUUCAUCCGAUGAACAGAGCAUGCUCAGAAAAAAGGGUCCUCCGAAUUCAAACAGGAGAGGUAUGAAGUACGAAGGACCGCACGCCGCAGUGGCUGAAUUAUUUUUGCGCUUCUUCCUCAGCACGCUAGUCCAUUUCCAGUCUUGGGAGUAGUUUUUUCUGUAUCGAGCAACUCUUUCUAUUCAAUUCUAACUUAAAUGGAAUGACUUUUUCUCCAUCUCCCCUGUUCCUGGCAGCUGCCGAAGUUUAUAGCUUGCCUGCCCCGUUGUUUCUCUCGAAGUUUAAUAAAAACUGUCCUUAACUGUUCCCCAAAGGGGAACCUCAGUUUCCCUAGUAA
Psammomys obesus (fat sand rat) is the source of this 3054-nucleotide long non-coding RNA. RefSeq lists it as uncharacterized. NCBI's taxonomy places the organism in Eukaryota, Metazoa, Chordata, Mammalia, Rodentia, Muridae. The record is from RefSeq and is a predicted model, not a curated record. The transcript has 3 exons.